GUAGGUGGCAAGCGUUGUCCGGAAUUAUUGGGCGUAAAGCGCGCGCAGGCGGUUCCUUAAGUCUGAUGUGAAAGCCCACGGCUCAACCGUGGAGGGUCAUUGGAAACUGGAGAACUUGAGUACAGAAGAGGAAAGCGGAAUUCCACGUGUAGCGGUGAAAUGCGUAGAGAUGUGGAGGAACACCAGUGGCGAAGGCGGCUUUCUGGUCUGUAACUGACGCUGAGGCGCGAAAGCGUGGGGAGCAAACAGGGAUUAGAUACCCAGGUAGUCCACGCCGUAAACGAUGAGUGCUAAGUGUUAGGGGGUUUCCGCCCCCUUAGUGCUGCAGCUAACGCAUUAAGCACUCCGCCUGGGGAUACGGCCGCAAGGCUG
RNAcentral lists this ribosomal RNA (372 nucleotides) under uncultured organism. Its description in RNAcentral is "partial 16S ribosomal RNA". It matches the Rfam family "Bacterial small subunit ribosomal RNA", at positions 527 to 896 of the family's 1533-position model. The record is from RNAcentral.